This is a non-coding RNA of Equus caballus (horse), 2881 nucleotides long. The record is from RefSeq and is a predicted model, not a curated record. NCBI's taxonomy places the organism in Eukaryota, Metazoa, Chordata, Mammalia, Perissodactyla, Equidae.
CCCACCCCCCGGCCACCCGCACGCCUCCUCCCACUCCCCUCGCCUUUCUGGGGGCUGUGCGCAGAUCUAAGUAGGUAUCCCCUUCUCCCUCCGCGGUUUUCAUCUGGGAUCUGGGGCUGUGAGUCCAGUAACCGGCACCACCUCAGGCGGCUAUGAGGACCGGGGAAAAAGCUACAGGUUCUUCCUGGAGGUGGGGUGGAUCUGGGCAGCCCGGGAAAGAGGUCAUCCUGCUGUGUGAUGUUCAGAGAGGACUUUCCCUCUCUGGACCUUAUUUUCCCCUGAGGAUGCUCUGGCUGGCUGGAGGCCCAGCAAUCCAGAGUAGGUGCUGGGUGGCCGGAGUUGGGUCUCAGCAGGAAAAGAUAUGAAGGAAUAAAUGUAGUGUGCAUGAAGUGGGACAAGGCAGGGGACCUCUGAAAUAUGUAGGCACAGUGGGGAGCAGAAGGGGGAGGGAGAGGGAACAGAUGGGGGUGGGGGCCCCUCCCCAGGCUGGGCCACCUCUAUUUACAUAACUGGAUUCAUAAGAGGUAAACAGAGCAGGAACUGGAAACGAGGGGCCCGGGCCUUGCCACACAGCAGUCUGGGAGCCCCGGGACUGAGGAAGGCGCCUGCCCUCUGCUGAGUCCUUAAGUGUCCUGGUGGGGGUGGCACCCCCAGAGCUGUGCUGGCUCCUGUGCUCCAGGGCAGGCGGAGUGGGGGACACCCUCUGCCUGCUUCUCCCCCCACCCUCAGAACAUGGGUGCCACGUGCCUGCACUGUGGGUUCUCAGUUCAGGCAUUUGACCAGGGGCUAUGGAGCUGGUCACGCCCACAAGGCCGGGCUCCUGCCACCCCGGGAGACCAGACAGACGCCCCACCCUCGUGUUCUGCGGGGGAGGUGAUGAUAAGUACCAGGGGCGGCCAGCCUGGGUGGUGCUGGAAGGAGGGGCCCGGGCUUGGUAAGGGGGCGCGUGAGGGCACAGAAAAUGUGGGACGGCAGGAACAGAGGCAGAGGGAAAGGGAUGGCGGCCUGGACAGAGCCCAGUGGGGGUUACAGGGCAGAGGCUCCCCGGCUCCUCAGGGGUGUUAGUACAGGCCUUUUGAUACCAUUUUGUGUCUGGGUUUUCUCACCACAGCUUGUGACGUGAGCAUUCCCAUAUUGAUAAGGGGUCCUCUAAACAUCGUUGUGCCCAGGCACCUAGUGUUCUCUUGUGUGGGGCUGUCAGGUUUCACUCAACCCUUCACAGGCUCUGGGAGUCAACAAGGGGAUGAGCCGUCACCUCAGCGAGCGGGCAUCAACCUGCACCCUGGUCCUUGCUCUUGGAUGUGAAGGAAAAGCCGAGAACCACCGGGCAGCUGGAGAGCUGGCGGCGAGCCGGCUGGGCAGACGGCGCAGGGGGCGCCUUCUUCCUUUGGGUUGGGUGGUUGUUUGCUUGGCACGUGCGCCCGGUUUCUCCAACACUGUUCCAACACUGAGAAGACUACCUUUUCUUCAUCGAGUUACUCUAGCCCCUUCAUGGAAAAUCGCCUGACGGUUUAUGCUGUAGGUCUAUUUCUGGACUCUUCUCCUGCAGUGAUCUCUGUGUCCGUGUUGACACCAAUACUGCUCUCCUGUGAAGACUUCUUGAGGCUAGCUUUACGACCUAGCUGUGAAAGAAAUGGAAUGUUCUGGGCGCAUCCAGUUGUUAAAUGCAAUGUAGUCUGGAUGCCUGUCCAUUAAAUUAAGAUUUUAAGCUAUUUUCUGCAAAUGUUGGUUUUUUUUUUUUACUUUUAUCUUCUUGAUCUAUCAAUUACUAAAGAUUGAUACUAUGAUGGUGGAUUUAUUUAUUUGUUUAUUUCUCCUUACAUUUUGUCAAUUUUUGCUUUGUAUAUUUAGAAGUUUGUUAUGUGCAUACAAAUAUAGAAUUGUUUUAGCCGCUUAAAAAGAUGCUAUUGUUUCAUAGCAUAUCUUAAAAUCGGGUAAACUGAGUUCUCCAACUUUAUUCUUUUUGAAAGAUGUUUGGGCAUUGUAGGUUCACGGCCUCUUCAUUUGAAUAUUAAAACAGUUUGUCAGUUGCUACAAAAAACCUACUAAGAUUUUGAUUGAGAUCCAGUUGAAUCUAUAGAUCAAUAUGAGGAGAACGGACAUCUUGACAACGUUGAAUCUUCCAACCCACGACCAAGAUUCUCCGAGUUUUUCUAUGGAGAUGACCGUGUGGUCUAUGAGAAAGCAGUUUCUCUUCCUUUGCUGUCUGUGGGCCUUUCCUUGUGUUCUGGCGACUUGCACGGCGGGUCCUGACCUGCCGCACGAUGUUCCACAGAGGCGGCAAGAGCCAAGUCCUUCCUUUCUCCCACUCCUGGGGGAGAAGCAUUCAGUUUCUCACCGUGCAGUAUGAAGUUAUUCACAGCUCUUUAUCAGUUUGAGAAUGUCCGCCAUCCAUUCCCAGUUUGCUGAGAGUUUUUUCUUUUUUCAUCAUGAACGGAUGUUGAGUUUUAUCAAAUGUCUUUUGUUUUUGAUUUUUCUUUCUUGCUCUAUUGCUGUGGGGAAUUACACUGAUUUCCAAAUGUUAGGCCUGCCUUGCAUUCCUGGGAUAAAUUUCGCUUGGUCGUGAAGUAUUCUCCUUUUUAUAUAUUUCUGGAUUUGAUUUGCUAACAUUUUGUUAAAGAUUUUUGCAUUUAUGUUCACUAAGGAUAUUAGUGUGUAAUUUUAUUUUCUUGUAACAAGAAGAUUGCCUGGUUUAUGCUAUCAGGAUAAUGCUGGUCUCAUAAAAUGAGCUGGAAAGUCUUCCUUCCUCCUCUAUUUUCUGGAAGUCUGUAUAGACGCGGUGUCAUUACUUCCUUAGAUGUUGGUAGAAUUCGCCAGUGAGCGUCUGGGCCUGGAGCUGUCUUUGUGGGGAGGCUGUUAAUUACAGAUUCAGUUUCUUUAA